ACGCUCGACACCUACGGGAGCAGCAGUGGGGAAUAUUGGGCAAUGGGCGAAAGCCUGACCCAGCAACGCCGCGUGAGGGAAGAAGGUUUUCGGAUUGUAAACCUCUGUCCUCAGGGACGAAGGACGUGACGGUACCUGAGGAGGAAGCCCCGGCUAACUACGUGCCAGCAGCCGCGGUAAUCUGAGGCGGGCGUGGACAAGGC
This 203-nucleotide ribosomal RNA is filed under the name uncultured bacterium. Its description in RNAcentral is "partial 16S ribosomal RNA". It matches the Rfam family "Bacterial small subunit ribosomal RNA", at positions 328 to 538 of the family's 1533-position model. The record is from RNAcentral.